GAUGAACGCUGGCGGCGUGCCUAAUACAUGCAAGUCCAGCGAACGGACGAGAAGCUUGCUUCUCUGAUGUUAGCGGCGGACGGGUGAGUAACACGUGGAUAACCUACCUAUAAGACUGGGAUAACUUCGGGAAACCGUAGCUAAUACCGGAUAAUAUUUUGAACCGCAUGGUUCAAAAGUGAAAGACGGUCUUGCUGGCACUUAUAGAUGGAUCCGCGCUGCAUUAGCUAGUUGGUAAGGUAACGGCUUACCAAGGCAACGAUGCAUAGCCGACCUGAGAGGGUGAUAGGCCACACUGGAACUGAGACACGGUCCAGACUCCUACGGGAGGCAGCAGUAGGGAAUCUUACGCAAUGGGCGAAAGCCUGACGGAGCAACGCCGCGUGAGUGAUGAAGGUCUUCGGAUCGUAAAACUCUGUUAUUAGGGAAGAACAUAUGUGUAAGUAACUGUGCACAUCUUGACGGUACCUAAUCAGAAAGCCACGGCUAACUACGUG
Molecule: ribosomal RNA, 497 nt
Filed under: uncultured bacterium
Lineage: Bacteria
Description: partial 16S ribosomal RNA
Rfam family: Bacterial small subunit ribosomal RNA
Source: RNAcentral